CAUGGAGGCACAUAAUAGCCUCUCCAACCAACUACCCCGUGAGACAGACAUGGGAAGACAUCGUGCUGGCCAUGCAGUUGACAGCCAUGUGUCUAGGAGCGUUAAUGGCACUAUGUGUUGUGGCUUGUUGCGCCUACAAGAUCUGUGGUCCGGCUGAAGAGCUGGAGUGGGGGUCACAGUAUUCCGUGCUCAAGAAGCCUCCGCGCCAGCCUCCAGAGCUUCUGCGGGAGCUCUGAGCCAGGUCCUCGCCCUCUGCCUCAUCCCAGGCGGCCUCCACCACCACCUGGGUCUUCAAGGACACCGCAGACUACCCAGGGAGGCCGUAAGUGUCCUAAUUUAUUUGGCAGAGGGCGAGUGACAAGAAAUAACAACAGUACACAAUCUUCAAAAGUUUGACAGAUAGAUGUCUGAUUAUUGAAGGAUACGUGGUCCUAAAUCUUCAAGGAUACUGAAAACUUCCCAGAGCCACUAGUGUCUACAUGUUCCUCAACAGACUGAAAGCUGAAAAUAACUCGAGCACAUCAUCAAAAGCUGAUCAUAAACAGUAAGGUAUAUGACUGCUGGACAGCUACCUGGAGUCAUUAAGGACAUUUCAGACUCCUGUGAAGGGUCAUAGGUGUCCUGAUAUACCUGGAUAAAUGGCGAGUGGCAUAGAGAAUUUCAGCACACCUUCAGAAGCUUAUCAGGAAGGUGUUUGAUAGAUUAUUGUUAAAAUGUACACAGAGGCGAAUGACAAACAUUAAUCUCAUAGGAGACAGACAUUGACACUAACCAUUCUCUUGCUAUUUACUGUAGCGUGAGACGAGUUGGCGUCCUACCAGGUCCUGUCUAACAAAGCCAAUAAUGUGUUAUGUCUCCGGGCAAUUUGCCGAUAGGCCGACAGACAAUAAAUCUUGUCAUCUUACCUGUAAGAACCUGACAAAGUUUGACGUCAUGCCAUACAGUAUUACCCAAACUAUUGAUGACGUUUUAUCAGUACUUGAAACUAAAUAAAAUGUCGGUGUUUACAGAGGGCUUCCUAGUUCCCCUUAGUGUCGUGUGUUAGAGGGAAAUAAGAUACACUGUAGUGUUUGUCUUUAAGAGUAUGAAAUUCAGAUCGACAUCAGUGACCUGUAAAGAACGUCCAGAGACCAACAGUAACAGAGACUCCUGAAGAUAACAGCAAGACAUAGUCUCAAUCAGUGCUAAAAAAAAUGUCCUAUGUUUGUUAUGAUCAAGUGUUACCAAAAUAGACAUUAAGUUUACAGAAGAGUUUCUCUCUGACUCAGUUAUAACGUGUUAUUUUCUGUUUACAGUCAAGUUUGUAUUAAAAGCAAAAUAGUUUUGUGAAAAUUGACUCGAUGAAAAUUAACACGUUAGAAAAGAAAGAGAUUUAUGAAUGUUGAUCGUCAGUCAGCACUGUUAAACAAUUUGCUUAUGUAUAAUAUCGCGUUGUGUAUGACUGUGUGUCCCUGGCGUUGUUCCUGUGUAGGUGGAUGUGUGACUGAGGGUCUAAUGAGAAUUUAACAACCAGGUAAACUAACCAUCCAUCGACGGCAAGUCCCCCGGCAAAAAAGUGCAAAUGCCUUUAAUUCUAUUAUGAAAUCCAACUUAAGCUUCAGUUCUACCUAUUGUGACUGUUAUGCCGUGAGUGUUCCUCUUAUAACCCUCUAUGAGUGAAUUCAGAUGCUUUAAGAGUAAAAAUAAAGGAUAUUUUUUUCUAAGUUGCUCUAAAUUAGAAUUAUCCUCCAGGUAAUCCAUAUGAGAUGUUGGAGACUUCCGAUGAACCAAAACCACUAAGUACCUCGUAUGGAUCACAUCAACCAAAGACAAGACCCGUAACGUAACUUUAGCACAUCUAGGGUAAGGCGUCUACGAGGACACUAACGUUUCAGAAUUGUUCCCCCCCCAAAAAAAAAUAAUAGUAAUCUGUCCCACUGAAAACGUUUGUCUACUGAAGAGGUGAAAUUUUGAACGUAGAUAUUGUCUGUCCUGUUGAGAGAUAUGAUUUCAGCUGUCUGUGUUCACUUAGAUUUUGUGACUUCAGAUGUCUACUUAAAUAUGUGACUUCACCUGUCUGUAUUCACUUAGAUAUAUGACUCCCGCUGUCUGUGUUCACUUAUAUAUGUGGCUCAAGAUAACUGUAUUCACUUAAGGCUUCGGCUGUCUGUUUCUACGUAUCAAAGUCAUUUAUAGACGUAUGUGUACAGGAGGAACUAGUAUGUUUAUACAGGAAUUCACCUCUUAGAAACAACCACAGUAAUGUUUACAAACAAUAGUCAUGUGAUAUUGUUUAAAAGCAGUACAAUAAAUAAACACUUUCUAUGAGGGAUGUAAUGGUAGAGUCUUCAGGACCGUAGGACUUUUAACUCCUUCAGUGUCAUGUAGGACACUUUUACUGGUCGUCAUGAUGUCCUUUGUGCUAUUAAAUUUUGAGUCCUAUAAUGGAAUAAAUCACAUUUGCUAGUAAAUCCUGAAGCCAAUGUCGAUUUGUAGGACCUUGUCUCAUGUAGAAGAGAGUCGCAAGUAAGUCCUUCUGUCCAGUGUCAUUGUGUAGGACUCGUGUCACCAGUUGUAAAAAAGAGAGGCACUAGCAAGGCCUGUUAUCUAAUAUUACUAGGUAGGAUUUUCAUCUCCUUCGGUACUAUGAAAGACAGUUACUAUAGUAUAUAGUCCUAUUGUCCAAUAUCCUUGUGUAGGACUCUUGUCACUUAUGGCGUAGAAAAUAAUUAAUAAGAAGUCCUACUGUCCAAUGUCCUUCUGUAGGACUAUUUGUCACUUGUAGGAUAUGAGGCGAUUACUGUAAAGUCCUAUAGUCCAGUGUCACUAUGGCCUUAGACUUCUUCAGUGGAAAAUAGCAAAAGUAGGAGUAUCUUUCAGUGUCCUUCUCUUAGACUCCGUGGCGGCAGACAACCCUUUAGUGGUCGUCCUGUGGUCUAGUCUUGUCUGUGGAAGAAUUUCGAAUCCCUCAGUGGUACGUGGGAUAUUUUCCGGUAGUAUUGUGAUCCGAUGUAAGUUAUAAACGUGUAGGAUAAUGUAAGUGUGUGUAUUUGAGUGUGUGUGUGUGUGUGUGUGUGUGUGUGUGUGUGUGUGUGUGUGUGUGUUGUACUUGUGUGUAGACUGUGUCACAUGCUGUAGGCGGCCGUUCCAUGAUAAUAUUAAUGUCAUUCAGUAAGUAAACAUGUUCCUGUCGAUCAGUCAAGUCAAAUCAGUGAGUGUGCUAAUGUUGCCUGGAUCACUGUGCUGCUGUAGUAUUUCUUGAUCAGUGUUAGCAAGAAUAUAGAUCAGUGUUUAUUGAUAUGUGUUGACUGGAAUGUUGAUCAGUGUGUUGGUGAGUCUUAGCAAGAAUUUUGAGCAAUGUUUUGUUGAUGAGUGUCGACCAGAAUGUUGAUCAGUGCAUGGUGAUCAGUGUUACCUCAGACAAUAAAAUAGUAUAUUUGUGAAGGAAUUUUUCCACAACUAGACUGUUUAAACUUUGACCUAAGAUAAACAACACUGUAAACACGAAAGUAGCUAAUGACUUGCUACUUUUAUGUCAUAAGCUUUUGUAAACACAAAGUACUGGGUAUAUAAAUUUCUUCCCUCAAAAUAUGGAAAUAAUACUAACUUACGAAUAAUUUACUGCUUGAAAUUUUAGCCUCACAAAAACAAUACUGGAACAUUGCUUACAAAACUACUGAUACAUUUACCACAAAGCAAUUACUUGAACACAAUUCUCACCUGCACCGCUGUGGUAAUAAAUGCUUUCAUUAACUAACCAAAAGCUUUUAACUGGAAACUUAACUACUUGUAUAUAGCAUCAAUCGGUGAAUAAAGUAGAUUGAUAAUUUUUAAAAGAAUCUUUUCUCGAUUUAUUAAAACUAGAAUUUUGUCUUACUGUAGGAGAUAGCACUCUAAUUAUUGCUCUUUGAAUUACAAAACAAAACAUAUAAAUAGUACUUAACUAUAUCUGGACAUUCAGUACUAGAGUAUAAUUUCAGUGAAUCAUAUUUCUAGAAUAUUUUCCCAACUAGACAACAAACUCUAUAGAUUCAACAAAAUCCCAUUUAUUUUGAUAUUAAACUUGUAUCGUUUCUUGCAUCAUGUUUAUCAAUAUUUUUACUUGACAUUUCCCGUCACCUGAAAACUAUACUAUUACUUUGGUCAACCUAUUUAUCGCUAUAAUUCACUAGUAAGCGAAAAAUUUUCUAGUCCCAUGUACCUAGCUAUUUACUAAUACAAAUAUAACUACGUAAGUGUAAAUAUGGGGACAUUUUUGGCUACUAGAGACCUUAAUUAAAAUAUACAUACCAAUUUUCCUAUUUAGAGGUGUCAUGUCUGGAGUUAAAGGUCACCGCGAUACUCUUUUGGGGAUACCUGUGUGUGUGUGUGUGUGUGAAGUGCGUCUAUGAUGUAUAUAUGGAACACCAAAAAUCCAAGUCUUGCCAAUUUUUUAAACUCCUGAACUGACCUCUAAAUAUAUAUAGACACAUAUAGGUGUCUUGGGAUGAUAUAUUCAAACACACAUGAUUUUUUUUAUUCACAUUCAAUGAUUUUCACACAUACACACACACACACACACACACACACACACACACACACACACACACACACACACACACACACACCAUGUCUCGGAAAGAGCAUCCUGGCUGGUGUGAAUCCCAGAUAUGAACCCAGAAAUGGAGCUCCCUAGGUGUAAGCUAUGUGUAAACUUUUCUUACAAGAAUCGUAGUUUAGAUGAAAAUAGAAUUAAUUGUGACUUCUUUUGUUAAUUGAAACUUCAAGAUUGAAUUAUAUAGAGAUGAUUAGUUUGAACCUUAACUGUUUACAUACCGCUAGGGAAAUAAAGCUUAAGAUUCAAAUACACGAAAAUUAUUGUGCUAAUCAAAGGUUCAAAAGGUUCACCGUAUGUUCGAGUUGCUAUUAAUGAAACGCUUCAGAGUUCUUUCUUCUUAUUAUUUGUACUGGAAUGAAUCAACAGGUGAUGCUUAGAAUCCAAAUCUGUUUAUUGUCAAAUGCUUCCUAAUGAUAAAAGUCAGGUUUCAGUGUAUUUCCCAGUAUUAUUAUUUUUUAUAUAUCCAGUGGCAUUUUAAGGAAUUUUUGUGAAUGAGGCAUUUGUAUGUACCACCAACUGUCCCCUGUGAAGCUUAGGCUUAUGUGUCACCAAUUGAUACUUUUGUUCGAAUCCCUUUUAUGUAAUCUGAUUUUAUAAUAUCACCAAUCAUUAUGUAUGAAUAUUUAUGUAUUUCCAAAACACUCAUCAAGUUAUAUGUAUGAGUAUUAUUUUUUGUUUAGGAUUUUCUUAUGAAUAUUUGAAACGCUAAAUGAGACAAUUCUUAUGUAUAACCAAACGCUUUUUUUGUAGUUUUUAUGCGUAUUAUAGAGUAACAUAUAGUUUAUGUAUCAUUGAGUAAUAUUUAUGUAUUUCUGUGCAUCAAUAAAUAUUUGUUAUAUUGUUUAUGAGUCAUCAGAGACCUUCAACAAGCUAAUAUAUACAAUUUAUUUAAUGAUUUUUGUCUAUAUCUGAUUAUCAUAAAAAACUAUAAUACAAAUUAUUAUGUAUCACUGAAUAUUUUUCUGUAUUUCAAUGUAUCAUCUGAAUAUUUAUAAUUUCGGAUCUUAUGUAUUUACAAGAAAAAUUAUGUAUUUUUGUGAUUUACGAAACUAUUUAUGAAUUCAACUGUAAUGUAUCACUAAACAAGUCAAGAUGUAAUUUAUGUGUCUCCUAACAACUUAUAAAUUCAGUUCCUACAUAUCACUAAAUGUUAAUUAUGUGAUUUUAUGUAUAUUCAAACGCUUGUUAUGUCUCAGGUCUACAUAUAUUUAAGUGAUAUUUUUUUCAAGUGAAUCGUAAUGACAUUAAAUCAUUUGUAUUACGAAGUGAAUCUUAAAAGGCCAAUUUUCCUAUGCAUUUUGUAACGAAUCAUGUCUGGAUUACUAUAUUUUCCAGACAACUGCAAGGAAAGCAAUCUUUUUAUGUCACACAAGAACACUCGUAAGAAUACAGUUUUGCAUGUAUUUUUGUACCGUUUAAGGAGAUAUUAAAUUCUGCAUGGGAUUAUUUUGAUUUCCAGGCGACUUUAAUGAAAACCAAUUUUCAUAUAUCAAAGUAUACAUAUAUAUGGAUAUAUUUUAUAUGUAUAAUCAAACGUUUCUGAUGAUGUGAAUUUUUUUAAUGUAACUUCAAAAUAUUAUUAUUGCAUAUCCUUUUGGAGAUUAUUUUUUGGCUUUAAUUUAUUUUGAGCCAUUAAGAUCAAUGUUUUUUGUCUCACGUACCGAUUCUUACAAGGACAGUGUUUAUGUAUCAUGAAGUAAGAGUUAUUUAGUAUUUUUUUAUCAAUGUGUGUUCAUUUAUGUAGGUAUUAUUUAUAAUGCACAAGCAAAACUAGAACAAUGAAGCCAAACUUUAUGUAUCAAGCGAGUCUAUUGACAGCAUUUUCCCUGUAUUAUAAAACCCAAGAUUAUGAACCUUCAGUAUCCAUUUAUGUAUCUUUUGAAAUCCUCUUGUAAGGAAUUUUCGAUUGACUUUCUAAUGUAAAUUAACUUCAUGUAUCACCAAACACGUCUUAGGAGGAGAUAUUUUAUGUAUUUCUGAAAGACUCUCCUGUAAUUUGUCUCCAUGCGUUAGUAAACAAGUGCAACCAA
Molecule: long non-coding RNA, 6606 nt
Filed under: Homarus americanus (American lobster)
Lineage: Eukaryota; Metazoa; Arthropoda; Malacostraca; Decapoda; Nephropidae
Description: uncharacterized LOC121854869
Source: RNAcentral